GGGGUUAAUCCCCCAAAUACCCAUGGUUGCUGCCCAAGGCAGGGUGUUGUGGUGUUUACAUUAAUAUUGUUCUCAGCUACGAGGUGACAACUGGCGUGUGAGCAUUCGUCCCCUGAAGACUUGGAGGCUGCGGAAAACCGGCCCUGGAGAUCAGAGCCAGAGCUUGCCCCCCUGACCAAAACUGGUGCCAGGCCAACUGAAUGGCUCCAACCCUUUGUGGGAUAACACUCUCGGAAGUCUACAGCAUGGCUUUAUAAUGUCUCUUAUAAACAAAUCAACUGAUCAGAGAAAGCCUGCUCAAUGACUGUGAAUGGUACUGAUCUAUCCUGGAUACUGAGAAAAGCAACUUGUACUUAUUACUUUAUUCAACUGUCCUGUGAUUUCCCAGGCACCAAGAAUUUGGCUGUUAAAAUACAUAGUUUGUAUCAACCCAGUUUUAAUAAAAGUAACUAGUUUUAUAUCUGAGUUACAUAAAAAUACUUUGAGGUAAUUUUUGAAUUCACUGAAAAAUUGGAUUACUUCCUGUUGGCCUAAAAAUAACAACUGAAUCCAUUGGAGCCCUGGGCUGCUUUCUGGGUGAGCUUUGGUGGCCCAAAGGAUUACUAAUUGGGUUAGGAGUAUACAUUGUCAUUAUUAUUAUUAUUUUAUUAUUAUUUGUAUUUAAGUAGUCCCUACAAACUGUAUUGUGCUAUACACUGUAUAAACAUAAUGAGAUACUGUUCCUGCCCUGAAGAGGUCACAAUCUGAAUAGACAAGACAGAGGUGGAAUGAUUUGCCCAAGGUGACCCAGCAGAUCCAUAGCAGAUCCAGGAACAGAACCAUCCAUGGUCUUCUGAUACCUCAACCAGUGCCUUAUUGACUAGGCUCUGUAUGUGUCGAACAGACUAUUCAGUCACUCCCAUCUGGUGGCAUUUUUAAUCUGAACCUCCAGAGAUAAUGUAAUCAAGUGUAUUUCAGAAUGAUAAAAUCACAGUUUACUAGCAAAUUACUAUUGUUUAUUAAAUGCAAAAGAACACCCCACCCCGUUAAUUUUCUUAAAGCUGCAUAGAUAAAAACCAGUCAAGAAUUGAAAAAUUAGUUUCAGUUGCAUCAUGGCAAUGUUGUUCAUCCUAUGUAGUAAUUUUAAUAAUAAUGAUCACAUAGCACUGUACCUAUUGGGUUCUGGGAAGUGGGCGGGCAGAGGCCUGCCCAAUGCUAAAGGAUCCCACCCCAGCCUAAGGGAGGAUCUACAGGACCUCAAAACCCAACAGAGUUCAGAGGACAACUAAUAAAAGAGCAGGGACAGGAGUGCGGUCAAAGGGUCAUAAGAAGGGAGCCUGACGGGGACACUGAGCAGCACAUAGCACUGUAGCGGGGCCGUAACCCCACUCCUGCCCUGAAGGGCUUAAAGCAGCCCUGGGAGAGGGCUGUGGUAGGGGGAAACCUGAGCUGAUUGGGGAAAUAACCAGAGCUGGGCCAUGCCCCAAUCAGGCCACAGCUGGCCCUAUAAAAAGGCUGUGAGCUAGGCACUCUGGAG
Molecule: non-coding RNA, 1516 nt
Organism: Chelonoidis abingdonii (Abingdon island giant tortoise)
Lineage: Eukaryota; Metazoa; Chordata; Testudines; Testudinidae
Source: RefSeq, a predicted model, not a curated record